RNAcentral lists this transfer RNA (66 nucleotides) under Dihammatus sp. UPOL A00594. RNAcentral's name for it is "tRNA-Gln". The record is from RNAcentral. Lineage: Eukaryota; Metazoa; Arthropoda; Insecta; Coleoptera; Lycidae.
UAAUCAAAUUGAAUUUAAUUUUACAAUGAAAGUGUAAUGUUUUAUUUAAACUAUAUUAAUAGAAAU